UGUCAACACAUUAAAUGCCCUCGGCAGUUGUUUGCACUUGUCCUGCCGCGAGGUCCUGAGGUGUGUGAGA
This 70-nucleotide small nucleolar RNA is filed under the name Trypanosoma theileri. RNAcentral describes it as "Trypanosomatid snoRNA TB9Cs1H3". It matches the Rfam family "Trypanosomatid snoRNA TB9Cs1H3". Lineage: Eukaryota; Euglenozoa; Kinetoplastea; Trypanosomatida; Trypanosomatidae. The record is from Rfam by way of RNAcentral.